UCAGACUGAAGUUGCAUUGCAAAAUAUCAGAUAUCGGAUUUAGGACCACAUAUGAAAGUGGCCUGGGUCGGAUUUGAAAAAAUCGGAUUUAUGCUGUUCAAACUGUCUCUAACAGAUCGGAUGCAGGUCACAUACGGGCAAAAAAAUUGGAUUUGGUCCACAUUUGCCUGCAGUCUAAAAGUAGUCUUAGAACAGCUGU
Molecule: long non-coding RNA, 199 nt
Organism: Sphaeramia orbicularis (orbiculate cardinalfish)
Lineage: Eukaryota; Metazoa; Chordata; Actinopteri; Kurtiformes; Apogonidae
Exons: 3
Source: RefSeq, a predicted model, not a curated record